Molecule: ribosomal RNA, 465 nt
Filed under: uncultured bacterium
Lineage: Bacteria
Description: partial 16S ribosomal RNA
Rfam family: Bacterial small subunit ribosomal RNA
Source: RNAcentral
CCUACGGGUGGCAGCAGUAGGGAAUCUUCCACAAUGGGCGAAAGCCUGAUGGAGCAACGCCGCGUGGGUGAAGAAGGUCUUCGGAUCGUAAAACCCUGUUGUUAGAGAAGAAAGUGCGUGAGAGUAACUGUUCACGUUUCGACGGUAUCUAACCAGAAAGCCACGGCUAACUACGUGCCAGCAGCCGCGGUAAUCCGUAGGUGGCAAGCGUUAUCCGGAUUUAUUGGGCGUAAAGGGAACGCAGGCGGUCUUUUAAGUCUGAUGUGAAAUCCUUCGGCUUAACCGGAGUAGUGCAUUGGAAACUGGGAGACUGGAGUGCAGAAGAGGAGAGUGGAACUCCAUGUGUAGCGGUGAAAUGCGUAGAUAUAUGGAAGAACACCAGUGGCGAAAGCGGCUCUCUGGUCUGUAACUGACGCUGAGGUUCGAAAGCGUGGGUAGCAAACAGGAUUAGAUACCCCAGUAGUC